This 253-nucleotide ribosomal RNA is filed under the name uncultured bacterium. Its description in RNAcentral is "partial 16S ribosomal RNA". It matches the Rfam family "Bacterial small subunit ribosomal RNA", at positions 524 to 776 of the family's 1533-position model. The record is from RNAcentral.
GACAGAGGCCUCAAGCGUUAGGCGGAAUCACUGGGCUUAAAGCGUGUGUAGGCGGAUCGUUAAGUACCUUGUGAAAUCCCACGGCUCACCCGUGGAACUGCUUGGUAUACUGGUCGUCUUGAGCCUUCUAGGGGCGAGUGGAACAAAUGGUGGAGCGGUGAAAUGCGUAGAUAUCAUUUGGAACGCCAAUGGUGAAAACAACUCGCUGGGGAAGUGCUGACGCUGAGACACGAAAGCCAGGGGAGCGAACGGG